GUUCUGGCCGGAAGCAGGCCAGAGUCAAGUAGACAGCUGAACAGGAAACUCGGACUAUGAUAAGGUAGAGAGUAAACCGGGGAAAGGGCGCGGGGGGGCCUGGAAGGGCCUCCUAAGGGGAUCCUGUUUCCACGGAGACCCUAACGAGGAGGGAGUAGAGGGAACGGCCUGUGCAACGGCCCGGGGAAAUAUACUUGCAGGUAAGUGAUACCUCCAAGAAGCAGCUCCUCCUUUGCCAUGGUUGGUCUGAGAAGCCGUUACAUGUGGAAACUGAGGCUGAGAGAGGUGAAGGGACUGGCUUAAGGUGACACAGCAAAAUGCUGGCAGAAGGACUGGGACUCAACAGAAGGGGACCGGGAAGCCCGAAGUUGUCACCUAGGGCAUCCAGUUCAUCACAUUUGUCUGACAGCUGUGUCUACUCUGCACCUCUUCAGGGCGCUACUCAGGGCCAGGUGCCCUUGUCUUCCACCUGAAGGACGCCAGCAGCCCCCAUUUCCAUUCUCCAUACGGCAGCCAGACUCUGCUCAAAACAACCUCCAGCCAAAGCCCUCAGUGGGUCAUUCCCUCUGGAUAAAAUAUGAACUCUACAAGUUGAGUGACCGUGGAUUAUCACCCAAUGAGCCCACUCGUCAGUUUAAAAGGGGACCUCAUCAGGACAGCAAGUGGAAGCCAGGACUGUCCAGGACACACCAGGAUGGAUGGGCACGCUACGCACAAGGCCCUGCACCCGGGGCUGGGACUAGGAUGGGACCAGUGAGGUGUCCGGGGCAUCCAGUUCAAGGAGGCUUUCACUCGGGCCCCAACUCUGCAUUUGCACAGCCUGCACCUGGGACACUGGCUGAACCUCUGCUGCUACACUGGUCCUUUUCAAGGCCCCGGAACACAACACGCCCUCCCUCUCCUCAGGGCCUUUGCCUGCGUUCCUGCUCUUCAGUGGUCAGAUCCAGCAUCACCCCGUCAGGGAAGCCUUCCCUGAUUUCCCCAGCCUGGUCAAAUUCGGCUAUCCUUUACUCUCAAAGUGCCAGAUGUUCCUCCUUCCAGCACUGACCACAUGGGAAGCACUUGACAUUAUUUCGUGUAUCCCAGGAUACAUGUUUACUUUGGGGAGCACAGAAAAUAUUGAUCCCAGAUUUGGAGUCACUGUAAAGUGUCAGUAGUGAGUGGAAGAGUUUGGGCUUCUAAGGUGGACGCACCCCUGAAGUGAGGUUUUCUGGGUUCAAGUCUUUUCAUUGCUCACUUGGCUUUGUGACUUCAGGUCAGCUCCACCAGGGCAGGUCCCCAUUGGUCCGUUCACUGUGGUACCCAUGUCCAGGACAGUGCCCGGAACAUGCGGUGCCAAUAAACAUGUGCUGACGGAAUUCACAAGUGGGGAUCGGCCGUCACGACUUCUUCACCAGGACCGACAGGAAGGGCCACGCCUCACCCAUUCCGAGUCUCUGGAGCAGGUGAGACAUGAGUUCACGGUCUCAGGUGACAGAGCCCUAUCCUGAGGCCACGGCUGGGGGGAGGGGGAUGGGCCUCACCCCCUAGGCUCCUACGCCCCCCAUUCCCACCCCAGUCAACCAGGAAACACCACAAGGCAGCCAAGGUUAGGUAGACUUGCUGCUUUGUUAUAAAUAUAUUAUGUACAUCCAAAACAUGACAUUAAAAUAUUACUCCGUGUUACAGAAAAGAUAUUAAGGCCUUCUAUUAUUUACAUUAAACAAGCAAGCACCUUUAAAAAAAAAA
Carlito syrichta (Philippine tarsier) is the source of this 1728-nucleotide long non-coding RNA. RefSeq lists it as uncharacterized. The transcript is spliced from 2 exons. Lineage: Eukaryota; Metazoa; Chordata; Mammalia; Primates; Tarsiidae. The record is from RefSeq and is a predicted model, not a curated record.